This 381-nucleotide long non-coding RNA is filed under the name Mytilus galloprovincialis (Mediterranean mussel). The record is from RNAcentral. Lineage: Eukaryota; Metazoa; Mollusca; Bivalvia; Mytilida; Mytilidae.
GGCGCAUACAUGUACAACAAAACAUACAACAAUGAAAAUCAAAUUGUAGGCAAUAAAAACGUCACCUUUGCCGAUCACUUCUGACCCUCAGUGUCAAAAUGGUUCUGCUAUUUCUAUUUUCAUGAAUAUUUCAACAUAUGCUUUAAUUCUGGUCAAGUACCGGAUAGGUGAAAUGAGGGAUCUAUAAUCCCAAUACACAGAUGUUCAAAACCAGAUCCUCGAGAUCAUUUAUCUUACCGUGAGGGGAAUAACUCUUGAUCCAUUUCAAUAAAUAUACAUUGUAACAUUUUCAAUGAAAGUUUAGACAAAAGUUUGUUGAAAAUAAGAUAAUUGACGAUGGGCAGGAUGAUUUAUGAAAGACAAAAGUACCAUUAAUCACAU